AUGACUUCUUGGCCUUUUGGCUAAGAUCAAGUGUAGUAUCUAUUCUUAUCAGUUUACUAUCUCAUAUGUCCUCUAUCCGAGGACAAUAUGUUAAAUGGAUUUUUGGAGAUAGGAGUUGGAAUAGGAGCUUGCUCCCUCCACUCCACGCAUCCACCUAGCACUGCAGUACUUCCAAGAAUGGUGCAUGCCCU
Molecule: small nuclear RNA, 191 nt
Filed under: Catagonus wagneri (Chacoan peccary)
Lineage: Eukaryota; Metazoa; Chordata; Mammalia; Artiodactyla; Tayassuidae
Description: U2 spliceosomal RNA (ENSCWAG00000020366.1)
Rfam family: U2 spliceosomal RNA
About the family: U2 is a small nuclear RNA (snRNA) component of the spliceosome (involved in pre-mRNA splicing). Complementary binding between U2 snRNA (in an area lying towards the 5' end but 3' to hairpin I) and the branchpoint sequence (BPS) of the intron results the bulging out of an unpaired adenosine, on the BPS, which initiates a nucleophilic attack at the intronic 5' splice site, thus starting the first of two transesterification reactions that mediate splicing.
Source: Rfam by way of RNAcentral